RNAcentral lists this ribosomal RNA (799 nucleotides) under uncultured Glomeromycotina. RNAcentral's name for it is "SSU rRNA". It matches the Rfam family "Eukaryotic small subunit ribosomal RNA", at positions 314 to 1114 of the family's 1831-position model. The record is from RNAcentral. Lineage: Eukaryota; Fungi; Glomeromycota.
AUCAACUUUCGAUGGUAGGAUAGAGGCCUACCAUGGUGGUAACGGGUAACGGGGUGUUAGGGCACGACACCGGAGAGGGAGCCUGAGAAACGGCUACCACACCCAAGGAUGGCAGCAGGCGCGCAAAUUACCCAAUCCCGACACGGGGAGGUAGUGACAAUAAAUAACAAUACGGGGUUCUUUAGGAUCUCGUAAUUGGAAUGAGUACAACUUAAAUCUCUUAACGAGGAACAAUUGGAGGGCAAGUCUGGUGCCAGCAGCCGCGGUAAUUCCAGCUCCAAUAGCGUAUAUUAAAGUUGUUGCAGUUAAAAAGCUCGUAGUUGAAUUUCGGGGUUAGUAGGUUGGUCAUGCCUCUGGUAUGUACUGGUCUCACUGAUUCCUCCUUCCUGAUGAACCUUAAUGCCAUUAAUUUGGUGUUUUGGGGAAUUUGGACUGUUACUUUGAAAAAAUUAGAGUGUUUAAAGCAAGCUAACGCUUGAAUACAUUAGCAUGGAAUAAUGAAAUAGGACGUUCGAUCCUAUUUUGUUGGUUUCUAGGAUUGACGUAAUGAUUAAUAGGGAUAGUUGGGGGCAUUAGUAUUCAAUUGUCAGAGGUGAAAUUCUUGGAUUUAUUGAAGACUAACUACUGCGAAAGCAUUUGCCAAGGAUGUUUUCAUUAAUCAAGAACGAAAGUUAGGGGAUCGAAGACGAUCAGAUACCGUCGUAGUCUUAACCAUAAACUAUGCCGACUAGGGAUCGGAUGAUGUUAAUUUUUUAAUGACUCAUUCGGCGCCUUACGGGAAACCAAAGUGUUUGGGUUC